RNAcentral lists this ribosomal RNA (263 nucleotides) under uncultured bacterium. RNAcentral's name for it is "partial 16S ribosomal RNA". It matches the Rfam family "Bacterial small subunit ribosomal RNA", at positions 793 to 1055 of the family's 1533-position model. The record is from RNAcentral.
GUCCACGCCGUAAACGAUGUCAACUAGCCGUUGGAAUCCUUGAGAUUUUAGUGGCGCAGCUAACGCAUUAAGUUGACCGCCUGGGGAGUACGGCCGCAAGGUUAAACUCAAAGAAAUUGACGGGGCCUGCACAAGCGGUGGAGCAUGUGGUUUAAUUCGAAGCAACGCGCAGAACCCUUACCAACGUUUGACAUGCCCGGACGACUGGCAGAGAUGCCUUUUUCCCUUCGGGGACUGGGACACAGGUGCUGCAUGGCUGUCGU